AUCUAGGGUUUCAUCUAGUAAAACCUAGGAAAGCAUGUAUCAAAUGGAGAUUACAAGCUACCAACCUCAAGAGAAGCCCCAAUUCAAGCUCAAAACCAAGUAGGGUUGAAGUUUGAUCCACCACAAAGCUUCAAAAGCAAGCUCCAAGCCUCCAAAGGUGAGAAAUGAGGAAGAAAAUGGUGCUCCAAGGCCUCUAAACAAGCUCUUCUCCUCUCCUUCUCCUUCUUCUCCUUCCCUUUCUCUCUCUAGAAGUGUAGGAAGAGUGUGAGGGAGAGAAAAUGAGAGUGAGAGUGGAGGAGAGGCUGCUUAUAGCCUCUAAAGUAACAAAAUCCACAUAGGCCCUUCAAAAACUCAAAUUUACAUCAGCCCGGUCUGGGCAGUUUUCGCCCAGAGGGACCGGUCUCCCCGACCUGGGACCGGUCUCUCAGCCUGCCCCCCGAAAAUCCAACGUUCGGGAACCGGUCUCUCCCUGCGCGGGACCGGUCUCUCCCCGCACAGACGCGCUCGGGGACCGGUCUCGACUGCCAGGGACCGGUUGCCUCGCCGGCUACGCAGCACUGUUCACAGGGGGACCGGUCUCUCCUAUCAGGGACCGGUCUCUGAGAGUAAAACUCUCAGGACUCUGCCAAAACUCUCGAGAUCGAACUUUUAGGCCGGUAUACCAUCGACGGCCCUCCACCAAGUGUGAAAAAGUUCGGAAUACAAAUCGAACACUCGAACCUCGCAAUUUACAAAGGUCCAGUGUGCUACAGGCUUGGACCUAAAUAGGUCGACAUUACAGGGUGUGACCAGCCCUUGAGCUAUGUAAAGUAGAUUCCGGAAUCCCAGGACUUGUGAGCUCGAUAGUUCUUGGCCGCGGGUGUAUGUGGCAUGUUCCUCUCCCACCGGAAGAACUUCGAGAAUUAUGAUUGAGCAAGAACCAUGAGCGCUAGGGUGUAUGUGGCAUGUUCCUCUCCCUAUCGAGGAUCUCGGCUGCGGGUGUAUGCGGCAUGUUCCUCUCCCACUGGGGGAUCCCUAACCACAGGUGCACGCAGCUCUGGGCGACCCAUUGGGCGAUGUGGUUUGUGGAUUGAAGGCUGAGGUGUAUGUGAGAGUUCCUUCACCUCGAGCCGCACAGAGCGCGGAUUAUCUGCAGAUGAUUGACUCAAGACCGAGUCGAGUGGCAUAGUUGGCUAAGGUAAAAGUAACCUUAGGAAAAGAAUGACAAAUAAAAA
Molecule: long non-coding RNA, 1214 nt
Filed under: Ananas comosus (pineapple)
Lineage: Eukaryota; Viridiplantae; Streptophyta; Magnoliopsida; Poales; Bromeliaceae
Description: long non-coding RNA (ACOM_LNC015162)
Source: RNAcentral